RNAcentral lists this ribosomal RNA (466 nucleotides) under uncultured bacterium. RNAcentral describes it as "bacterial SSU rRNA". It matches the Rfam family "Bacterial small subunit ribosomal RNA", at positions 329 to 792 of the family's 1533-position model. The record is from RNAcentral.
CACCAGACUCCUACGGGAGGCAGCAGUGAGGAAUAUUGGUCAAUGGGCGAGAGCCUGAACCAGCCAAGUCGCGUGAAGGAUGAAGGAUCUAUGGUUUGUAAACUUCUUUUAUAUGGGAAUAAAGUGAGGAACGUGUUCCUUUUUGUAUGUACCAUAUGAAUAAGCAUCGGCUAACUCCGUGUCAGCAGCCGCGGUAAUACGGAGGAUGCGAGCGUUAUCCGGAUUUAUUGGGUUUAAAGGGUGCGUAGGUGGUUAAUUAAGUCAGCGGUGAAAGUUUGUGGCUCAACCAUAAAAUUGCCGUUGAAACUGGCAGACUUGAGUUGGCGAGAAGUGCGCGGAAUGCGUGGUGUAGCGGUGAAAUGCAUAGAUAUCACGCAGAACUCCGAUUGCGAAGGCAGCGCACCGGCGCCCUACUGACGCUCAGGCACGAAAGCGUGGGUAUCGAACAGGAUUAGAUACCCCGGUA